AGAUGGUGUUCCGUGGUUCCUGGUGGCUCCUGGCUGGCUGUCUUCUGUCCUGGUGUUGCAACACCUGGGAGCUGAGCAGUGUGGACUCAGAGACAGAAUCAUCAAUACCUCUGGUGAUCUUUCAUGGGAUAGGAUAUGGAGAACAAGGUCUUGAAUGCUACUGUCGGAUUGUGUGAGAUUCUUGCUAACGAUCCUAAAUUACAGCAAGGGUACAUUGCUGUUACAUUUUCCAAAGAACUCCAGAUGCUGAAGGACUUUGCUGAGAAAUACCCAAUGCCUCCCAUGAAAGAUAUGAUCCCAGUUUCUGGCAGUUAAACAUUAAGAGUGAUGAGGCGACUUUCCUGCUUCCUUAAACUACCAUGAUUGAUCACAAGACAAGUCCACAGGAGUGCAAAGCAUCGUGAACACGGCAGUGCUCUGCACCCCAUUGUGACUCUUGAGACACAACCUAACUGCAAAAGGCCAACCCUGUCUGCAAAGAAGAACUAGUCACUUGCUUCAGCACACAGCCCCCUUCCUCUCUUCUCCUAGCUUGGUGAAAGGUUCCUAGUCUGUAAGAGAGGCAUGCUUGCUUAGUGUGAGCUCUUCUCAGGUUCUCUGAAAUAAACCCGCAUGCAUUUGA
Molecule: long non-coding RNA, 622 nt
Organism: Peromyscus leucopus (white-footed mouse)
Lineage: Eukaryota; Metazoa; Chordata; Mammalia; Rodentia; Cricetidae
Exons: 4
Source: RefSeq, a predicted model, not a curated record